GCUAGUAGGCUACUGUCAGAUGGUGAAUGCUACUCAGGCAAACACCAUUGUUACACCACUUUGAAGGAGAGCCUGGUCAUUUGGUCCCCUCAGCUUCUCCCUUUCUCAGUGAUAUGUUCAUUGUGGCUGGGAGAAUUGUGGGGCACUCUUUCCUUCAUGGAGGACCCUGCUUGUCUGGACUCUGUGAUGUGGUUGUCCAUACUGCUUCGUGGGAGCCCAGACACGGCUACAGUAAACCUGGAGGACUGUGCAGACCUGGACAUUAGAGAAACAAUCAGGCUUCUGGAGGUGGAAUCAAACCUAUCAGCUGAAGAAAUGGGAAGGGUACAGAACGUGGCCUCUUCCUGGGACCUCCCUCCGCUAACCACAACCAACAGGGCCCUUAAUGCUCUGCGGUGAAAAAUGGAGCAACAAGGCUGACCGUGACAUCGGGAGAGCUGAGGCAGAUCAUCUUAAACAUGAUGCACCUGGACGGUCCGGUGGCGGAGACUUCAAGAAUUAAAUAAAAUUACAAUGAAAUGGAUAA
Molecule: long non-coding RNA, 526 nt
Organism: Sardina pilchardus (European sardine)
Lineage: Eukaryota; Metazoa; Chordata; Actinopteri; Clupeiformes; Clupeidae
Exons: 4
Source: RefSeq, a predicted model, not a curated record